GACGAACGCUGGCGGCGUGCUUAACACAUGCAAGUCGAGCGGUAAGGCCCUUUCGGGGGUACACGAGCGGCGAACGGGUGAGUAACACGUGGGUGACCUGCCCUCAGCUCUGGGAUAAGCCUGGGAAACCGGGUCUAAUACCGGAUAUGACUCCAUGACGCAUGUUGUGGGGUGGAAAGCCUUGUGCGGCUGAGGAUGGGCCCGCGGCCUAUCAGCUUGUUGGUGGGGUGAUGGCCUACCAAGGCGACGACGGGUAGCCGGCCUGAGAGGGCGACCAGCCACACUGGGACUGAGACACGGCCCAGACUCCUACGGGAGGCAGCAGUGGGGAAUCUUGCGCAAUGGGCGAAAGCCUGACGCAGCGACGCCGCGUGA
RNAcentral lists this ribosomal RNA (375 nucleotides) under uncultured bacterium. RNAcentral describes it as "bacterial SSU rRNA". It matches the Rfam family "Bacterial small subunit ribosomal RNA", at positions 28 to 404 of the family's 1533-position model. The record is from RNAcentral.